CAGAGUUGAAAAACUCCCUAACCCUUUGUUAAUAUACCUGUUCAGUUGCUUCGGCAGGCGGCCCCAGGGCGGGGCCUCCGGCCUGCUUCGGCAGGCGCCUGCCGCUGGCGUCAAAACUCUUUGUUAUAUGUUAACUCUCUUCUGAGUCAAAACAAAAUGAAUCA
Molecule: unclassified non-coding RNA, 164 nt
Filed under: soil metagenome
Description: partial internal transcribed spacer 1
Source: RNAcentral